Molecule: non-coding RNA, 21 nt
Filed under: Caenorhabditis elegans
Lineage: Eukaryota; Metazoa; Nematoda; Chromadorea; Rhabditida; Rhabditidae
Source: RNAcentral
UAUCUGUUUUAUCCUGUAAAA